Molecule: long non-coding RNA, 175 nt
Organism: Phyllostomus discolor (pale spear-nosed bat)
Lineage: Eukaryota; Metazoa; Chordata; Mammalia; Chiroptera; Phyllostomidae
Exons: 3
Source: RefSeq, a predicted model, not a curated record
CAGUAAGUUCUCUGGAGACAAUUUUUGGUUCACUUAAACACAGCUGUGAGAACGCAGACUUUGCUCAGGUACGAGCCACGCGAGCUCUUACACACCUUAGGACACACCUGAAACACAGGGCACCUGCUCCCACCGACUCACCCGUCUCCCUUUCUCUGUGCCUUCCUGCCCGCCC